This is a long non-coding RNA of Ruditapes philippinarum (Manila clam), 435 nucleotides long. RefSeq lists it as uncharacterized. NCBI's taxonomy places the organism in Eukaryota, Metazoa, Mollusca, Bivalvia, Venerida, Veneridae. The transcript has 3 exons. The record is from RefSeq and is a predicted model, not a curated record.
AUAAGAUAGUAUUUCUCACGUCGCCUACUGAGAGGGAAUCAAAACAAAAUUAAAAAUACCCAGAUUAUAUUUGUUUAAAGAGUUUCAUUUUGGCAAGCGGGAAAGUAGAUAAUUAUGGACAAUGAUGACUCAAUCUGCAUUAUUCCAGAUACACCAAGCUCAUUUCCAGCACAGGGAAAAAUUCAUGUUAAAAGAACUAACUCAGUGAUAAAUAUAUCAAGUGAUGACUCAUUUAGAUCUUCAGUAAGUUCUGAUAUAAACCAGCAGAAUGAAAUAAAAUCGACUGGUCAAAGGACGUCUCCAGUACUGACCAAAGCCGAUGAUGAUCGCAAUAUAAAUUUAGUUAAGAACAGAAAUAGGUCAGACAGCCCAACAUUUAACUGUAGAAGACAGCUCUUGCAUGUUAAAACAUCACAUGUCAGUAAGACGUACAAA